CCCUUAGAUGUUCUGGGCCGCACGCGCGCUACACUGAUGCAUUCAACGAGCCUAUCCUUGACCGACAGGUCCGGGUAAUCUUUGAAUCUGCAUCGUGACGGGGAUAGAUUAUUGCAAUUAUUAAUCUUCAACGAGGAAUGCCUAGUAGGCGCAAGUCAUCAGCUUGCGUCGAUUACGUCCCUGCCCUUUGUACACACCGCCCGUCGCUCCUACCGAUUGGGUGUGCUGGUGAAAUGUUCGGAUCGGCCGUUUGUCGCGGUUUCCGCGUCAUGUGACUGAGGAGUUCAUUAAACCCUCCCACCUAGAGGAAGGAGAAGUCGUAACA
This 325-nucleotide ribosomal RNA is filed under the name uncultured eukaryote. Its description in RNAcentral is "partial 18S ribosomal RNA". It matches the Rfam family "Eukaryotic small subunit ribosomal RNA", at positions 1470 to 1796 of the family's 1831-position model. The record is from RNAcentral.